Molecule: ribosomal RNA, 291 nt
Filed under: uncultured bacterium
Lineage: Bacteria
Description: partial 16S ribosomal RNA
Rfam family: Bacterial small subunit ribosomal RNA
Source: RNAcentral
GUGGAUUAGAUACCCUGGUAGUCCACGCCCUAAACGAUGUCAACUAGUUGUUGGUAGGGUAAAACCUAUUAGUAACGUAGCUAACGCGUGAAGUUGACCGCCUGGGGAGUACGGCCGCAAGGUUAAAACUCAAAGGAAUUGACGGGGACCCGCACAAGCGGUGGAUGAUGUGGAUUAAUUCGACGCAACACGAAAAACCUUACCUACCCUUGACAUGCCAGGAACCCUGCUGAGAGGUGGGGGUGCCCGAAAGGGAGCCUGGACACAGGUGCUGCACGGCCGUCGACAACU